AAUAGAUACCCAGGUAGUCCUAGCCGUAAACGAUGACCACUCGCCGUGGGAGGAUCGACCCCUUCCGUGGCUAAGUCAACACGUUAAGUGGUCCGCCUGGGGAGUACGACCGCAAGGUUAAAACUCAAAGGAAUUGACGGGGACCCGCACAAGCAGCGGAGCGUGUGGUUUAAUUCGAUGCAACGCGAAGAACCUUACCAGGGUUUGACAUGCAUACGACAGGGGCGGAAACGUUCUCUCCCUUCGGGGCGUAUGCACAGAUGCUGCAUGGCUGUCGUCAGCUCGUGCCGUGAGGUGUUGGGUUAAGUCCCGCAACGAGCGCAACCCUCGUCGCUAGUUGAAUUCUCUAGCGAGACCGCCGGUAGAAAACCGGAGGAAGGUGGGGAUGACGUCAAGUCCUCAUGGCCUUUAUGGACCAGGGCUACACACGUGCUACAAUGGCCGGUACAAAGCGUUGCCAACUCGCGAGAGGGAGCUAAUCGCAUAAAACCGGUCUCAGUUCAGAUUGGAGUCUGCAACUCGACUCCAUGAAGCGGAAUCG
Molecule: ribosomal RNA, 541 nt
Filed under: uncultured bacterium
Lineage: Bacteria
Description: bacterial SSU rRNA
Rfam family: Bacterial small subunit ribosomal RNA
Source: RNAcentral